Small nucleolar RNA from Ochotona princeps (American pika), 111 nucleotides. Its record names the gene SNORA74. It matches the Rfam family "Small nucleolar RNA SNORA74". From Rfam's summary of the family: U19 belongs to the H/ACA class of snoRNAs. snoRNAs bind a number of proteins (including dyskerin, Gar1p and Nop10p in the case of the H/ACA class) to form snoRNP complexes. This class are thought to guide the sites of modification of uridines to pseudouridines by forming direct base pairing interactions with substrate RNAs. Lineage: Eukaryota; Metazoa; Chordata; Mammalia; Lagomorpha; Ochotonidae. The record is from Ensembl.
CUCAGCUGUAGGCAACUGCCUAGAUUGCCUUGUACCUAGGCAAGUGUUACACAGCUGGGAGAAAAACAGCCAGUAGCUGGCAGGCAUUCUGGGUCUGGUUAAUGCCAAAUU